This 496-nucleotide ribosomal RNA is filed under the name uncultured bacterium. RNAcentral describes it as "bacterial SSU rRNA". It matches the Rfam family "Bacterial small subunit ribosomal RNA", at positions 29 to 517 of the family's 1533-position model. The record is from RNAcentral.
AAUGAACGUUGGCGGCGUGGAUUAGGCAUGCAAGUCGAGCGAGAAUUUGCGAUUGGAAGCUUCGGCCGAAGAAAGUGAAGGAAAGCGGCAAACGGCGUAGUAAGGCGUAGGUACGUACCCUCGGGUCGGGAAUAGCCAUGGGAAACUGUGGGUAAUGCCCGAUAAUCUCUGCGGAGCAAAGGUGUGAUUCCGCCGGAGGAGCGGCUUACGUGAUAUUAGCUAGUUGGUGGGGUAAUGGCCUACCUAGGCAACGAUGUCUAGGGGGUGUGAGAGCAUGGCCCCCACGACCGGAACUGAGACACUGUCCGGACACCUACGGGUGGCUGCAGUCGAGAAUCUUCCGCAAUGGGCGAAAGCCUGACGGAGCGACGCCGCGUGGUGGAUGAAGGCCCUUGGGUUGUAAACACCUGUCAGAGGGGAUGAAAUCAUGGUUGGCAAUCCUUCCAUGUUGACAGAGCCUCAGAGGAAGCACGGGCUAAGUACGUGCCAGCAGCCG